This 77-nucleotide transfer RNA is filed under the name Puccinia sorghi. It matches the Rfam family "tRNA". From Rfam's summary of the family: Transfer RNA (tRNA) molecules are approximately 80 nucleotides in length. Their secondary structure includes four short double-helical elements and three loops (D, anti-codon, and T loops). The record is from Rfam by way of RNAcentral. Lineage: Eukaryota; Fungi; Basidiomycota; Pucciniomycetes; Pucciniales; Pucciniaceae.
AGCGAGAUGGCGCAGCUGGUAGCGCGCUGGGCUCAUACGAAACCCAGAGGUCGUCGGAUCGAAACUGACUCUCGCUA